AGACCGAUAGCGAACAAGUACCGUGAGGGAAAGAUGAAAAGAACUUUGAAAAGAGAGUUAAAGAGUACCUGAAACUGCUGAAAGGGAACCGAAUCGUUUCCAGUGUCUAUAAUCCCGUGGUAUAUUUCAUUGGCGAGUGUGUGCGUGCGUGUGCUGUGGCAGCGGCUUUUUAGGCUGCGCUCGGCGUGUGUGCUGUGUGUGCUUGCUGGUGCCCUGUACUGCGGUGGGACGUCAAGGUCAGUUCGUAUGCUGCGGGAAAUGGCUGCCGAGGAGGUAGGGCUUACGCUUGCGUUUGUCUGUUAUAUCUUGGUGGACGAGUAGUCGCGGUUGGGACUGAGGUGCCUACAACGUGCUUUUGAGUGGGUUUGUGUCUCCGUGUGCGCCGUGUGCGGAUAGCUUGCUAUGCGUGUGUGGUUGUGUGUGGAUUGAUGCGGGCUUUAACUUGUUGCCGUUCGGGACGUUGACGAAAUGGAGCGAUUCGACCCGUCUUGAAACACGGACCAAG
Molecule: ribosomal RNA, 505 nt
Filed under: Phytophthora sp.
Lineage: Eukaryota; Oomycota; Peronosporomycetes; Peronosporales; Peronosporaceae
Description: partial large subunit ribosomal RNA
Rfam family: Eukaryotic large subunit ribosomal RNA
Source: RNAcentral